GGGGUUGUGGCUCAGAGGUAGAGCACUCACCUAGCAUGCGUGAGGCCCCAGGUUCAAUCCUCAGCACCA
Molecule: transfer RNA, 69 nt
Filed under: Ictidomys tridecemlineatus (thirteen-lined ground squirrel)
Lineage: Eukaryota; Metazoa; Chordata; Mammalia; Rodentia; Sciuridae
Description: Spermophilus tridecemlineatus (thirteen-lined ground squirrel) tRNA
Rfam family: tRNA
About the family: Transfer RNA (tRNA) molecules are approximately 80 nucleotides in length. Their secondary structure includes four short double-helical elements and three loops (D, anti-codon, and T loops).
Source: Rfam by way of RNAcentral